Molecule: small nucleolar RNA, 137 nt
Organism: Suricata suricatta (meerkat)
Lineage: Eukaryota; Metazoa; Chordata; Mammalia; Carnivora; Herpestidae
Source: Ensembl
AGUCCCUGACCCAGAGAGAGUGGCACCUGGUCUGUGGUGCCAGCCUCGUGUAUCAGUCUGGGGCAAAGCAAUUCCUAGUUUAUCGCAGCUUGGCUUCCGGUCUGUGCUGGUGCCUGGUUCAUGUCCUGAACACAUGA